AUUGAACGCUGGCGGCAUGCUUUACACAUGCAAGUCGAACGGUAACAGGUUAAGCUGACGAGUGGCGAACGGGUGAGUAAUGCAUCGGAACGUGCCCGGUCGUGGGGGAUAACACUUAGAAAGAAGUGCUAAUACCGCAUACGAUCUAAGGAUGAAAGCGGGGGACCGUAAGGCCUCGCGCGAUCGGAGCGGCCGAUGUCAGAUUAGGUAGUUGGUGGGGUAAAGGCCUACCAAGCCGACGAUCUGUAGCUGGUCUGAGAGGACGACCAGCCACACUGGGACUGAGACACGGCCCAGACUCCUACGGGAGGCAGCAGUGGGGAAUUUUGGACAAUUGGCGCAAGCCUGAUCCAGCAAUGCCGCGUGCAGGAAGAAGGCCUUCGGGUUGUAAACUGCUUUUGUACGGAGCGAAAAGGCUCUCUCUAAUACAGGGGGCUGAUGACGGUACCGUAAGAGUAAGCACCGGCUAACUACGUGCCAGCCGCCGCCGUAA
This 493-nucleotide ribosomal RNA is filed under the name uncultured bacterium. Its description in RNAcentral is "partial 16S ribosomal RNA". It matches the Rfam family "Bacterial small subunit ribosomal RNA", at positions 30 to 523 of the family's 1533-position model. The record is from RNAcentral.